RNAcentral lists this non-coding RNA (171 nucleotides) under Clostridium taeniosporum. RNAcentral describes it as "T-box sequence". It matches the Rfam family "T-box leader". From Rfam's summary of the family: Uncharged tRNA acts as the effector for transcription antitermination of genes in the T-box leader family. The record is from RNAcentral. Lineage: Bacteria; Bacillati; Bacillota; Clostridia; Eubacteriales; Clostridiaceae.
AUAUACACUGUGAAAAAGAUUAGUAAUUUUAAUGUUUUUUAAGAGAGAUGAUGGAUGCUGAAAAUCAUUAUGAUAUUAAAAUGAAUGGAACUUUUGAGUGUAAUUAGAAAAAAGAAAGUUGGGCUUAAGCCAAGAAGGGUGGAACCGCGGAAUUAAUAUUUCGUCCCUUUA